This 75-nucleotide transfer RNA is filed under the name Metallus mai. RNAcentral's name for it is "tRNA-Glu". Lineage: Eukaryota; Metazoa; Arthropoda; Insecta; Hymenoptera; Tenthredinidae. The record is from RNAcentral.
AUUUAAUUUAUAUUUAAAAAAAUAACAUUACAUUUUCAUUGUAAAAAUAAGAAAAACUAAAUUUCUUUAUAAAUU